AUACCGGGCGAGGUAAUUAACAUCUCGCCACCGUGGCAACCCCUGCCCUCUCGUUGGCAAGAGCAGGUGGAUGGGCCCCAUCCCGAAUCAUGGAAAUCCACUUUGUUUUCGGAAAGCUCUGCAUGGUUCAGGAAGAACCCAAUAGACCAGCCUAAGUGGCUCCUCCGCCUGAUCAAGGUCUCGGCUAACGCACCUGCGUCGUCUCUCAGGUGAAACCUUACUGAAUAUGGCCACCGGUGAACAAGCAAGUAACAACCCACUACCGAAGCGACCAGGGUGAGCGUAAACGAGACGUACAACGGUAGAAGAUGAAAAAAAGGGGAUUUGAUGAGUCGCGCAGCAGCAGCGGCAGCCACUUCGCAUGCAGAGGGCAUCCUUCACUCGCUGCCUAUUGAUCGGCACUGUUCGUGAAAAGUGAAAUAAUUACCAUGCACAUGCAAUGCAUUGCGCGCAUGCCGUUGGCAAUAAUAAUAAGGUAUAUAUAUCGAUGGCCCAUGAUUCCUCUCUUUAAAUGUAUCUCACCCAAGGUCACCGUGUAGACAGUGUUGUCGCAGCCUUCUUGUAAAGGUCACGGUUGACACACGGUAUA
Molecule: long non-coding RNA, 589 nt
Organism: Lethenteron reissneri (Far Eastern brook lamprey)
Lineage: Eukaryota; Metazoa; Chordata; Hyperoartia; Petromyzontiformes; Petromyzontidae
Source: RefSeq, a predicted model, not a curated record